RNAcentral lists this ribosomal RNA (435 nucleotides) under uncultured prokaryote. RNAcentral describes it as "bacterial SSU rRNA". It matches the Rfam family "Bacterial small subunit ribosomal RNA", at positions 342 to 791 of the family's 1533-position model. The record is from RNAcentral.
CGGGGGGCAGCAGUCGAGAAUUUUUCACAAUGGGGGAAACCCUGAUGGAGCGACGCCGCGUGGAGGAUGAAUGCCCUUGGGUUGUAAACUCCUGUCAUAAGAGAACAAGAAAGUGAUAGUAUCUUAAGAGGAAGAGACGGCUAACUCUGUGCCAGCAGCCGCGGUAAUACAGAGGUCUCAAGCGUUGUUCGGAUUCAUUGGGCGUAAAGGGUGCGCAGGCUGUGUGGUAAGUCGGGUGUGAAAUUUAGAGGCUCAACCUCUAAACUGCACCUGAUACUGCCAUGCUAGAGGACUGUAGAGGAGAUUGGAAUUCACGGUGUAGCAGUGAAAUGCGUAGAUAUCGUGAGGAAGACCGGUGGCGAAGGCGAAUCUCUGGGCAGUUCCUGACGCUCAUGCACGAAGGCUAGGGGAGCAAACGGGAUUAGAUACCCGAGU